RNAcentral lists this ribosomal RNA (1020 nucleotides) under Augacephalus ezendami. RNAcentral describes it as "SSU rRNA". It matches the Rfam family "Eukaryotic small subunit ribosomal RNA", at positions 702 to 1742 of the family's 1831-position model. The record is from RNAcentral. Lineage: Eukaryota; Metazoa; Arthropoda; Arachnida; Araneae; Theraphosidae. RNAcentral also lists the same sequence under 3 other names.
GCCGGUUUCCCUCGAUGAUCUUCACCGGUUGUCCCGGGUGACCGGCACGUUUACUUUGAAAAAAUUAGAGUGCUCAAAGCAGGCGCGUAGCCUGGAUAAUGGUGCAUGGAAUAAUGGAAUAGGACUUCGUUUCUAUUUUGUUGGUUUUCGGAACACGAGGUAAUGAUUAAGAGGGACAGACGGGGGCAUUCGUAUUGCGACGCUAGAGGUGAAAUUCUUGGACCGUCGCAAGACGAACUACUGCGAAAGCAUUUGCCAAGAAUGUUUUCAUUAAUCAAGAACGAAAGUUAGAGGUUCGAAGGCGAUCAGAUACCGCCCUAGUUCUAACCAUAAACGAUGCCAACCAGCGAUCCGCCUGAGUUCCUCAAAUGACUCGGCGGGCAGCUUACGGGAAACCAAAGUGUUUGGGUUCCGGGGGAAGUAUGGUUGCAAAGCUGAAACUUAAAGGAAUUGACGGAAGGGCACUACCAGAUGUGGAGCCUGCGGUUUAAUUUGACUCAACACGGGGCAACUUACCCGGCCCGGACACUGGAAGGAUUGACAGAUUAAGAGCUCUUUCUUGAUUCAGUGGGUGGUGGUGCAUGGCCGUUCGUAGUUGGUGAAGCGAUUUGUCUGGUUAAUUCCGAUAACGAGCGAGACUCUAGCCUACUAAAUAGGCGUCCCGAUCUCUUUCGUCGGGCGUUCUUCUUAGAGGGACAAGUGGCGUUUAGCCGCACGAGACAGAGCAAUAACAGGUCUGUUAUGCCCUUAGAUGUCCGGGGCCGCACGCGCGCUACACUGAAGGAAUCAGCGUGUGCUUUCCCUGUCCGGUAGGACUGGGUAACCCGUUGAACCUCCUUCGUGAUAGGGAUAGGGGCUUGCAAUUAUUCCCCUUGAACGAGGAAUACCCAGUAAGCACGAGUCAUCAGCUCGUGUUGAUUACGUCCCUGCCCUUUGUACACACCGCCCGUCGCUACUACCGAUUGAAUGAUUUAGUGAGGUCUUCGGACUGGCGCUCGGAGCGGCUGCAAGGUCGCGCCG